This 459-nucleotide ribosomal RNA is filed under the name uncultured bacterium. Its description in RNAcentral is "partial 16S ribosomal RNA". It matches the Rfam family "Bacterial small subunit ribosomal RNA", at positions 338 to 795 of the family's 1533-position model. The record is from RNAcentral.
CCUACGGGCGGCAGCAGUGAGGAAUAUUGGUCAAUGGCCGAGAGGCUGAACCAGCCAAGUCGCGUGAGGGAAGACGGCCCUACGGGUUGUAAACCUCUUUUGUCGGGGAGCAAAGAGAGUCACGUGUGACUCAUUGAGAGUACCCGAAGAAAAAGCAUCGGCUAACUCCGUGCCAGCAGCCGCGGUAAUACGGGGGAUGCGAGCGUUAUCCGGAUUUAUUGGGUUUAAAGGGUGCGCAGGCGGAGGUGCAAGUCAGCGGUCAAAUUGCGGGGCUCAACCCCGUACUGCCGUUGAAACUGCAGCCCUUGAGUGCGCGAGAAGUAGGCGGAAUGCGUGGUGUAGCGGUGAAAUGCAUAGAUAUCACGCAGAACUCCGAUUGCGAAGGCAGCAUACCGGCGCGCAACUGACGCUCAUGCACGAAAGCGUGGGUAUCGAACAGGAUUAGAUACCCGAGUAGUC